GAGCUUGCUCCCGGAUGUUAGCGGCGGACGGGUGAGUAACACGUGGGUAACCUGCCUGUAAGACUGGGAUAACUCCGGGAAACCGGAGCUAAUACCGGAUAGUUCCUUGAACCGCAUGGUUCAAGGAUGAAAGACGGUUUCGGCUGUCACUUACAGAUGGACCCGCGGCGCAUUAGCUAGUUGGUGAGGUAACGGCUCACCAAGGCGACGAUGCGUAGCCGACCUGAGAGGGUGAUCGGCCACACUGGGACUGAGACACGGCCCAGACUCCUACGGGAGGCAGCAGUAGGGAAUCUUCCGCAAUGGACGAAAGUCUGACGGAGCAACGCCGCGUGAGUGAUGAAGGUUUUCGGAUCGUAAAGCUCUGUUGUUAGGGAAGAACAAGUGCAAGAGUAACUGCUUGCACCUUGACGGUACCUAACCAGAAAGCCACGGCUAACUACGUGCCAGCAGCCGCGGUAAUACGUAGGUGGCAAGCGUUGUCCGGAAUUAUUGGGCGUAAAGGGCUCGCAGGCGGUUUCUUAAGUCUGAUGUGAAAGCCCCCGGCUCAACCGGGGAGGGUCAUUGGAAACUGGGAAACUUGAGUGCAGAAGAGGAGAGUGGAAUUCCACGUGUAGCGGUGAAAUGCGUAGAGAUGUGGAGGAACACCAGUGGCGAGGCGACUCU
Molecule: ribosomal RNA, 666 nt
Filed under: Bacillus pumilus
Lineage: Bacteria; Bacillati; Bacillota; Bacilli; Caryophanales; Bacillaceae
Description: bacterial SSU rRNA
Rfam family: Bacterial small subunit ribosomal RNA
Source: RNAcentral